UUUUACCAAAAUGACUGUGAAUUUUGCUUUGUCCAUUCCCAGUUAGCUUGUUGUAGUUGGUAAGUCUUGUCUGGUUGUGUUUUGACAACUACACUUUCUUGGCAAAUUUAGAAGAUGCAGUUGUUUUGAAUUACACUGAAACAUUUCCACUUGUCCUGGAAGCGGUCGCCCUCACGGACAACUUUUCCUUUUGCUUUUAUUUCCAGUUGACAUUUCAGAAGCGAACUAGAAAGUGUCACAGAAGAGUCGCACAAAAGUGUUGCCACACGUUUACAGUUAGUAAAAAUGUAAUUUAGCCGACUGCAAUCAAAGAAAAUCGUACACAGUUUGUGGAGGUGCUUGGGGGGGGACGGCUUGACAUGCUUGACUUAAGUGAAUCAACCAAGCUGAAGGGUGAGGGGGGGUUAUGCUAAACUGACAGAGACUUUUCAGAAGAAGAAUCUGGAAACACAGGUCUCUCCUGUCUUUUUAUUUUUUUCAGGUUUCUGGCACCAAAGUGAUUUGUGAUCUGGUCAUUUUUGGGGGGUAAAACACUAUAAAUCGACACAGUGAUGAAGUGAUGAAGGCUCCUUCUGCUUGAUCUAUUUAAUACUGCUGGAGUGGGUGAUGCUGAUCCAAACACCUUCACUCUUUCUCCCACCUUUCCUUGUCUGUAGGUGCCGUCCCAGCUGUUUUCUGUUCCGGUGGGUUGCUUGCCUCCAUCUGUCGGAGGCAGAUGUUUCCUCACAGAUCUGAAAUGAGGAUGCAUCAGGCGGCAGCAGGACGGAGUUCAACUCAUGGACUUUCAGUCCACUCAUCUGUAAUCUGGAACGUCACCGUUGCACUGAUUAAUAAGGAAUCAGAAAACUGCAAUUGCUUGUGUCUCAAAGAUCUAAGAUCAAAUAUUCAGAGCGUUCCCAGUAGACUUUUAGUCAUGAAAAUGCCCUUUUUAGGCCAAAUCAAAAAAGCGUGUGUCGUUUUCUAGGACGUAGUUUCUGCAGAGCAGCUGGAGUUCAUUAGAAAUACAUCUUUGAGUUGUGGGCGGAGUUGAGGAAAACAAAAGAUAAAUGUGGAUCUUUUAGUCUACAAGUGGUGCAUUGGAAUGGAGCAAAGCAGGGAGUUUGUGGCCCCCGCCCAGCAACGACAUUUCUAUGCAUCAAAUACAAUCUUUAUCUCACAGCAUUUUUUUCAUCUGCUCCUGAUUCACAGCUGUAAAGUGGCCAGUAAGUAUAUAUAUUUCAAGAUUUUUGUUGUUUCUUUAUUCAUUAAAUUAAAUUGGAUGAAGAGAAAAUUCCAGCAGAGACGGAGGAGGAAAUGGAAACAUUUAAAUCAUUACAUUAAAGUUUGCAACAUACGUUUGUUUUCAAAUUGUUUUGACUUUGUUUUGAACUUCAAGGCUUAUUGUUAUUCACUUAUGUGUUCAAGUUAUUUCUUUAUUUCUAGUUAAGUCCGUUCUGGAUCUUCAAGGAUGUCUUCCUGACUCCCCCUAUAGGUGGAGGUCAAUAGUCUCAAAGGAAAGUGGGCCGCCCCGUGCUGAAGAAAUCUGGAAUUCAAUUCUUGAACAUUUUCCUCUAAAGUACAAACUUCAAAGAUGUUUGAUUUCUGAUUUUUCUAAUGAGAGAUGGAGGGCGCCGCUGCCCAGCUCAUGCGACGUCCUGAAGAGCAGGAUGUGAAAAGAGGCAGAGGAAACAGAUGCAGACGGAGGACAGGAGGGUGGAGGAGAGACGUGGAGGAGCUGGAGCUGUUUUGCAUGAGUGGGAUCAGUCAGGAGGGUAAAUGUGUGGCGUUUGAGGCGAUGACUGGUGUUCUGGAAAAUGAUGAGCAUGUGUGGCUCCCAAAAGGAGGCAUGUGAGCUGGAUGAGAUCCUCAAACUAACCACCACUUACUGGGUCACCGAUCACACAGCUGAUGAGCCCACAGCUGGAGCCAGAGCUCCUCCUGGUGGACAGGAUGGUGUACUGCAGCAGUCAGAUUGGCUUCUCUCCUGGAGAAAUGAGGGUGUUGGAAAUGAAAAGUAAAAAAUUAGAAGUUAUUUAUUUUAGGAUAGGAAAGAUACUCCAACGCUUUGACUUCAUGUGCUUCUAUCUCAGAUAUUCUCAGUUCAAUAAGAGGAAAUAAAGUCAAAUAACUGUAAAUGGAGAGUUUUUAAGGUAGUUUUUAAUUCAGUAUUCCAAUCCAGGUUUAUACAUGGAUAAAAUUGUCAUUUUGGUUAUUAAGUGAACCAACUCCAAGGUUAAACAGGUACUUUUUUAUAGGUUAUUUUAAUUCAAGAAAAAUAACCACACACCGAUAAAUUAGAUUAAAAUGAAACCAUAACCCCAAAACAUAAUUCUCCAAAAAGUAAGCCAAAAAAAUAUCCCAAGAUAAAUAACUCAAGAAUUCGGUUGAAUAAAUAAAAAACAAGAUUCACUAAUAAGAAAAAAGUGGUUUAAGAGUGUGUUUUCUGCCAUGUUUAGCCUUUUCCAGCAUGAUUCAACCAAAUCCAUAAAACGUUUAGGUCCGUUUUAGUGGAACUGCUGCAGUACUGAAGUCCUCAUUCCCUCUCUAGGUCAGGAGGAGAUGUCAAAGGAGCAGGAAGAACGAGACAUCGCUUAAAUAAGUCUUAAGGAUAAGGGAAACACAAAGGGAGUAAUAGUCUGAUUUAUGACUGCCGUCUGUCUGAGGGGAAAAACAAAAGAUUUGACCCCUCUAACAUCAAAACCUUUUUAAGUACAUUUUUUACAAAUAAACCUCAAGCCUGAUGAAAAGUUUAUGAAAUAAAAUGUAUUUUUUAUGGUUUUUCAAAAUAAGAAAAAUAACAAAAGGUGCUCAAUUCAGCACAAAUUGAAAAAAAAUGAAAUGUGAUUUACCCCAUCGAGGAAUGUUCCAUCUGGAGAUAAAUCUCAGUGAACGAGCUUUGUCAAAUCUGUCUUUUUUCUUUUGAUAUCAAUUUUAGCAUCAAAAGGAUUCAAAAACAAACGCAGAUGCUAAACUGAUAUCGUGGAAAAUUGGGACCCACGUUACUUUAACGGGCAAAAUUAUAUUUUCUUCAGUCAGUUUAUUUUAUUAUGUAUCAGUACACAGAAACACCAUAAAUGAGCUCCGUAAACUGAGGCUCAUGCUGUCGGAGCAGCAGUUUUCACAUAAGAAAUCGGCCUUACAGCUCCCUCUGCUGGUGAUAGGAAGCAUCGUUGCAAAGUUGGGAGGUAUGAGCAGUGAGUGAGGAGCAAAAGAGUGUUCUCUUGAACUUAAUAAAGUUCCUGUAUUCGGCUUUUUCCACAAAUAGCUUUUUAUUUAAAAAAACAAAAUCAAUCGUAAUGAGUUGGAUUACAGAAAAACGAGAAAAUCUCAUUCUGUGAUUGCUUGCUUUUUUCUUAAAUGCUCUGAGAGAAAUUUGGCUUAUUGUUUUUGCAUUUUAGAAUCGUUCCUAGUCAUAAAAAAUCAAAUAUUUGAUUAACCUGAGAGAUGUUUAAUGGUUUCUUCUUAUCUGGAACAUCAGAAUGACUCAAAGCUGUUGGCUUUAUGUAAAAGAUCCAUCCAGGUCCAGAACACAGACAUUCGCUCACUGGACUCUCAGAAAUCAAGACCCUGAAAAUAAAGGUUGCAUUGAGACGGACUUUACUUUAACUAAAAGAAUUCCAAAAAAAAUGGACAAAAGGGAAACUUUAGGGUCAAGCAUUCUGCCUGUAAAAAAAUAAAAAAACUUGCCCUUAAAUAUGCCAGAAUUUAAUAUCUAAUAAAACCAUAACAGUUGAAUUUUAACCGCCUCCAACACUUGUCAUGAAAGAAUUGUUAACAAACGACGCAUGAUAGUUUUCUCAGAUAUAAAUUCAAAUUUUUUUAGCAAAAUAAAUAAGAAAAUUAUGCCCAAAGAUGGCUUGGUACUUUUAUGUCCAGGGCAAAAAGACGAUUUACUCCAGACUUAAUUUUUUUUGUUUUAUUACAUGCUGACUUCUAUUAAACUAAUUAAGGUCUGGAUUUUUAAUAAAAAAGUAGAAAAAACUCCAUAAAUUUUGCUCUUUUGUUCUUUAAAAACUGUUUAAGAGAAGCUUAAUUUAAAACAUGUAGAGGGUUGGGGGAUUUUUUUUUGUCCUGUUUAAUUUAAAUAAAAUAUAGUUUAGGACUGUGAAUUAGCUGCAGAAAAACCUAAUUUGUAUUUAUAAAAAGCUUUUCUUUAUAGAGGAUAAAAGAAACGACCUGUGAGUGGAAACAUUUAUUCAAGAGACUUAGUUUGCUGCUGUGUAAUUUUAAUGCAACCCAUAGUGUGUUUUUGUGUCUUUUUUUUUGCAUGUUUACCAGUCGACUGUAUUUGAUUUGGUCAUUCUUAACAAUAUUCAGAGGAAAUGACUCCAGAACUUUGAAACGAUUUUUCCUUGUUUUUUUCUUCUUCAAAACAAUAAAAAUCCAAAAAUCAAAGGGAAGACAGAGAAGUCGCCCUGCAGGCAGCCGUGUUCUCACUUUGUUUCCACGACUUUGAUUUCCAGCUUGCACUUCUGAUCUUCCUCCGAGGCAGCGUGUUGUUCGCAACAAGCAGAUGGAUAAAGUGAAGAAAGACGUCUGCAGCCGGCACCAACACAGCCUCCAGUCAUUCUGUUUGAACCAUCGUUCAGCCGCGAGAACCAUCAUUAGGAAAAAUCAGAAACAUGUCUGAUACCUGACAGUUUCACGUUUGGACCAGAGGCGUUGCUCUGAAACAGUUUGUGGACUUUUUCCUUUAAAUGUUUUCAAAAACCUGAUUAUUUGUGCAGUUUAUUAGACUUCAUCUUGAUACUGCAGUGUAUGUGUUUAACACCUGACAUAUAUCUGGAAAAAUGUGCAAAAUAAACGGUAUGUCACUA
This is a non-coding RNA of Oryzias latipes (Japanese medaka), 4796 nucleotides long. The record is from RefSeq and is a predicted model, not a curated record. NCBI's taxonomy places the organism in Eukaryota, Metazoa, Chordata, Actinopteri, Beloniformes, Adrianichthyidae.